CCUACGGGUGGCAGCAGUAGGGAAUCUUUCACAAUGGGCGAAAGCCUGAUGGAGCAACGCCGCGUGCAGGAUGAAGGCCUUCGGGUUGUAAACUGCUUUUAUAAGCGAGAAAUAUGAUGGUAACUUAUGAAUAAGGAUCGGCUAACUACGUGCCAGCAGCCGCGGUCAUACGUAGGAUCCGAGCAUUAUCCGGAGUGACUGGGUGUAAAGAGUUGCGUAGGUGGCAUAAUAAGUAGCUAGUGAAAUCUGGUGGCUCAACCAUUCAGACUAUUAGCUAAACUGUUAAGAUCGAGACCGUUAGGGGUAACUGGAAUUUCUAGUGUAGGAGUGAAAUGCGUAGAUAUUAGAAGGAACACCAAUAGCGUAGGCAGGUUACUGGGACGGUUCUGACACUAAGGCACGAAAGCGUGGGGAGCAAACAGGAUUAGAUACCCGGGUAGUC
This 442-nucleotide ribosomal RNA is filed under the name uncultured bacterium. RNAcentral describes it as "partial 16S ribosomal RNA". It matches the Rfam family "Bacterial small subunit ribosomal RNA", at positions 338 to 795 of the family's 1533-position model. The record is from RNAcentral.